GAAAGUAAGCAAGGGCAGACGGUGGAUGCCUUGGCUCUCGGAGGCGACGAAGGACGUGAUAAGCUGCGAAAAGCUCGGGGGAGGCGCAAAUAGCCGUUGAUCCCGGGAUAUCCGAAUGGGGCAACCCGGCAGGCUGAAGGCCUGUCAUCCCGUAAGGGAGGCGAACGUGGGGAACUGAAACAUCUAAGUACCCAUAGGAGGAGAAAAUAAACAAUGAUUCCGUAAGUAGUGGCGAGCGAACACGGAAGAGCCCAAACCCAUGUCGUCUAGGCGACACGGGGGUUGUAGGACCACGACGUGGCAAGAUAGAGUCAAGUGGAACGCCUUGGAAAAGGCGGUCAUAGAGGGUGAAAACCCCGUACACGACUGACGAUUGAAGCCUAGUGGUAUCCUGAGUAGCGCGGGGCACGAGAAAUCUUGCGUGAAACAGCGGGGCCCAUCCCGUAAGGCUAAAUACUCCCGAGAGACCGAUAGCGAACCAGUACCGUGAGGGAAAGGUGAAAAGAACCCCGAGCAGGGGAGUGAAAUAGACCCUGAACCCGUCUGCCUACAAGCGGUCGGAGCAUAGCAAUAUGUGACGGCGUGCCUUUUGCAUAAUGAACCUACGAGUUACCUUCCCCGGCAAGGUUAAGUACCUAAGGUACGGAGCCGAAGCGAAAGCGAGUCUGAAGAGGGCGGCCAGUCGGGGGGGGUAGACGCGAAACCGAGUGAUCUACCCUUGGCCAGGUUGAAGGUUGGGUAACACCAACUGGAGGACCGGAUGGGUAAGCGUUGAAAAGCUUUCCAAUGAGCUGAGGGUAGGGGUGAAAGGCUAAUCAAACUCGGAGAUAGCUCGUACUCCCCGAAAUGCAUUUAGGUGCAGCCUCUUUAUAGUAUAUCGUGAGGUAGAGCGACUGAUUGGAUGCGAGGGCUUCACCGCCUAUCAAGUCCAGAUAAACUCCGAAUGCGCGAUAUAUAUUUAAAGGGAGUGAGGGCGCGGGUGCUAAGGUCCGUGUCCGAGAGGAGAAGAAUCCAGACCACCGGCUAAGGCCCCCAAAUGAUCGUUGAGUUGAACUAACGAGGUCGGAUCGCAGAGACAGCUAGGAUGUUGGCUUGGAAGCAGCCAUUCAUUUAAAGAGUGCGUAACAGCUCACUAGUCGAGCGAUCUGGCGUGGAUAAUAAUCGGGCAUAAACGAUCUGCCGAAGCCGUGGAUGUCGUAAGACAUGGUAGGGGAGCAUUCCAUGCGGCGUCGAAGAUGAGGGAUGACCCUUGUUGGAGCGCAUGGAAAAGCAAAUGUAGGUAUGAGUAACGAUAAGGGGGGCGAGAAACCCCCCCGCCGAAAGACCAAGGUUUCCUGAUCAACGCUAAUCGGAUCAGGGUGAGUCGGGACCUAAGGCAAAGCCGAACGGCGACGCCGAUGGAAGAAUGGGUUAAUAUUCCCAUACUGCCUCAUGGAGUGACGUGGAGACGGAGAAGUGACAGUCCUGCCGGCUGACGGAAUAGCCGGUUGAAGGGUGUAGAUAUUGAUUCCCGUAGGCAAAUCCGCGGGGAGAGUCGAACCUGACAGUAUACCGAGUACUUGUACGAGGUAAUAUGGACGUAACCAUGCUCCCAAGAAAAUCCGCUAAACUUAUCCAUGCGGCACCCGUACCGUAAACGGACACACGUGGUCGGGUUGAGAAUACUGAGGCGCUCGAGUGAUUCACGGUUAAGGAACUAGGCAAAUUGACCCUGUAACUUCGGGAUAAAGGGUCCUCGUCGUAAGGCGAGGCGCAGAGAAUAGGUCCAGGCAACUGUUUAACAAAAACACAUGGCUAUGCUAAAUGGAAACAUGACGUAUAUAGCCUGACACCUGCCCGGUGCUGGAAGGUUAAGAGGAGAUGUCAUCGCAAGAGAAGCGUUGAAUUGAAGCCCCAGUAAACGGCGGCCGUAACUAUAACGGUCCUAAGGUAGCGAAAUUCCUUGUCGGGUAAGUUCCGACCUGCACGAAUGGUGUAAUGAUCUGGACACUGUCUCAACCGUGAGCUCGGUGAAAUUGUAGUAUCGGUGAAGAUGCCGAUUACCCGCGAUGGGACGAAAAGACCCCGUGAACCUUUACUAUAGCUUUACAUUGAAUUUGGGCAGACGAUGUGUAGGAUAGGCCGGAGGCUUUGAAGGGGGUACGCCAGUAUCCUUGGAGCCGCCGUUGAAAUACGGCCCUUCGGUUGUUUGAGUUCUAACUCCUAGGCAGGAGGACACUGUAUGGUGGGUAGUUUGACUGGGGUGGUCGCCUCCAAAAGCGUAACGGAGGCUUCUAAAGGUGCCCUCAGACCGAUUGGUAACCGGUCGUAGAGUGUAAUGGCAUAAGGGCGCUUGACUGGGAGAGAUACAACUCGAUCAGGUAGGAAACUAGAGCAUAGUGAUCCGGUGGUUCCGCAUGGAAGGGCCAUCGCUCAAAGGAUAAAAGGUACUCCGGGGAUAACAGGCUGAUCAUUCCCAAGAGCUCAUAUCGACGGAAUGGUUUGGCACCUCGAUGUCGGCUCGUCACAUCCUGGGGCUGGAGAAGGUCCCAAGGGUUGGGCUGUUCGCCCAUUAAAGUGGCACGCGAGCUGGGUUCAGAACGUCGUGAGACAGUUCGGUCUCUAUCUAUCGUGGGCGCAGGAGAUUUGAGGGGCUCUGACACUAGUACGAGAGGACCGUGUUGGACGUACCACUGGUUUACCGGUUGUCCCGCCAGGGGCACCGCCGGGUAUCUAAGUACGGAUCGGAUAAGUGCUGAAAGCAUCUAAGUACGAAGCCGGCCUCAAGAUUAGAUCUCCCUGAAGGGUGGUUAUAGACGAUGACCUUGAUAGGCCACAGGUGUAAGGGCGGCGACGUCCGAGCCGAGUGGUACUAAUAGCCCGGGACUUUCCUCAC
RNAcentral lists this ribosomal RNA (2875 nucleotides) under Parabacteroides distasonis str. 3776 D15 i. RNAcentral describes it as "bacterial LSU rRNA". It matches the Rfam family "Bacterial large subunit ribosomal RNA". Lineage: Bacteria; Pseudomonadati; Bacteroidota; Bacteroidia; Bacteroidales; Tannerellaceae. The record is from RNAcentral.